This 465-nucleotide ribosomal RNA is filed under the name Vreelandella stevensii. RNAcentral describes it as "partial 16S ribosomal RNA". It matches the Rfam family "Bacterial small subunit ribosomal RNA", at positions 338 to 795 of the family's 1533-position model. Lineage: Bacteria; Pseudomonadati; Pseudomonadota; Gammaproteobacteria; Oceanospirillales; Halomonadaceae. The record is from RNAcentral.
UCUACGGGUGGCAGCAGUGGGGAAUAUUGGACAAUGGGCGAAAGCCUGAUCCAGCCAUGCCGCGUGUGUGAAGAAGGCCUUCGGGUUGUAAAGCACUUUCAGUGGGGAAGAAAGCCUUGGGGCUAAUACCCUCGAGGAAGGACAUCACCCACAGAAGAAGCACCGGCUAACUCCGUGCCAGCAGCCGCGGUAAUACGGAGGGUGCGAGCGUUAAUCGGAAUUACUGGGCGUAAAGCGCGCGUAGGCGGUCUGAUAAGCCGGUUGUGAAAGCCCCGGGCUCAACCUGGGAACGGCCUCCGGAACUGUCAGGCUAGAGUGCAGGAGAGGAAGGUAGAAUUCCCGGUGUAGCGGUGAAAUGCGUAGAGAUCGGGAGGAAUACCAGUGGCGAAGGCGGCCUUCUGGACUGACACUGACGCUGAGGUGCGAAAGCGUGGGUAGCAAACAGGAUUAGAUACCCGGGUAGUC